RNAcentral lists this ribosomal RNA (464 nucleotides) under uncultured Lactococcus sp. RNAcentral's name for it is "bacterial SSU rRNA". It matches the Rfam family "Bacterial small subunit ribosomal RNA", at positions 338 to 795 of the family's 1533-position model. Lineage: Bacteria; Bacillati; Bacillota; Bacilli; Lactobacillales; Streptococcaceae. The record is from RNAcentral.
CCUACGGGUGGCAGCAGUAGGGAAUCUUCGGCAAUGGACGAAAGUCUGACCGAGCAACGCCGCGUGAGUGAAGAAGGUUUUCGGAUCGUAAAACUCUGUUGGUAGAGAAGAACGUUGGUGAGAGUGGAAGCCCAAUCAGUGACCGGAACUUACCCGAAAGGGGCGGGCUAAUUAGGGCCCACAGCCCGGGGAAAACGGAGGGUCCGAAGGGUGUUCGGGUUUAUUGGGCGUAAAGCGAGCGCAGGUGGUUUAUUAAGUCUGGUGUAAAAGGCAGUGGCUCAACCAUUGUAUGCAUUGGAAACUGGUAGACUUGAGUGCAGGAGAGGAGAGUGGAAUUCCAUGUGUAGCGGUGAAAUGCGUAGAUAUAUGGAGGAACACCGGUGGCGAAAGCGGCUCUCUGGCCUGUAACUGACACUGAGGCUCGAAAGCGUGGGGAGCAAACAGGAUUAGAUACCCGAGUAGUC